Molecule: microRNA, 20 nt
Filed under: Oryza sativa (Asian cultivated rice)
Lineage: Eukaryota; Viridiplantae; Streptophyta; Magnoliopsida; Poales; Poaceae
Description: osa-miR531b
Gene: osa-miR531b
Source: miRBase by way of RNAcentral
CUCGCCGGGGCUGCGUGCCG